This 1806-nucleotide long non-coding RNA is filed under the name Anthonomus grandis grandis. RNAcentral describes it as "uncharacterized LOC126747589". Lineage: Eukaryota; Metazoa; Arthropoda; Insecta; Coleoptera; Curculionidae. The record is from RNAcentral.
UAAACGAUUGGUUCUGUUGCUGUAGUACAGCUACAGUCAUCAAAAAACGCUAAAAUAGGUGUCUAAUGAAUUUAUUGGAAGAAUCUGUAUUCCAAUUUUCAACUCUCUAACCCUCAUGGUUCCAGAGAUACAGCCAUUGGGUUCCUGGGAAAUUUUCAAUUUUUUUCCAACUUUGAAAAUUCCAUAUCUCCAUUAAUAAUUUUUUUUGGACAAAACGCUGAAAUAGGUGUCUAAUGAAUUUAUUGGAAGAAUCUAUAUUCCAAUUUUCAACCCUCUAACCCCCAUGGCUCCUGAGAUACAGCCAUUGGGUUCCUGGGAAAUUUUCAAUUUUUUUCCAACUUUGAAAAUUCCAUAUCUCCAUUAAUAAUUUUUUUUGGACAAAACGCUGAAAUAGGUGUCUAAUGAAUUUAUUGGAAGAAUCUAUAUUCCAAUUUUCAACCCUCUAACCCUCAUGGCUCCUGAGAUACAGCCAUUGGGUUCCUGGGAAAUUUUCAAUUUUUUUUCCAACUUUGAAAAUUCCAUAUCUCCAUAAUUAAUUUUUUUUUGAAAAAACGCUCAAAUAGGUGUCUAAUAAAUUUAUUAGAAGAAUCUGUAUUCCAAUUUUCAACCCUCUAACCCUCAUGGUUCCUGAGAUACAGCCAUUGGGUUCCUGAGAAAUUUUCAAUUUUUUUCCAAUUUUGAAAUUCCAUAUCUCCAUUAAUAAUUUUUUUUGGAAAAAACGCUGAAAUAGGUGUCUAAUGAAUUUAUUAGAAGAAUCUGUAUUCCAAUUUUCAACCCUCUAACCUUCAUGGUUCCUGAGAUACAGCCAUUGGGUUCCUGGGAAAUUUUCAAUUUUUUUCCAACUUUGAAAUUCCAUAUCUCCAUUAAUAAUUUUUUUUGAAAAAAACGCUGAAAUAGGUGUCUAAUGAAUUUAUUAGAAGAAUCUGUAUUCCAAUUUCCAACCCUCUAACCCUCAUGGUUCCUGAGAUACAGCCAUUGGGUUCCUGGGAAAUUUUCAAUUUUUUUCCAACUUUGAAAUUCCAUAUCUCCAUUAAUAAUUUUUUAUUUAAAAAAACGCUGAAAUAGGUGUCUAAUGAAUUCAUUAGAAGAAUCUGUAUUCCAAUUUUCAACCCUCUAACCCUCAUGGCUCCUGAGAUACAGCCAUUGGGUUCCUGGGAAAUUUUCAAUUUUUCUCCAUUUUUGAAAUUCCAUAUCUCCAUUAAUAAUUUUUUUUUGGAAAAAACGCUGAAAUAGGUGUCUAAUGAAUUUAUUAGGAGAAUCUAUAUUCCAAUUUUCAACCCUCUAACCCUCAUGGUUCCUGAGAUACAGCCAUUGGGUUCCUGAGAAAUUUUCAAUUUUUUUCCAACUUUGAAAUUCCAUAUCUCCAUUAAUAAUUUUUUAUUUAAAAAAACGCUGAAAUAGGUGUCUAAUGAAUUCAUUAGAAGAAUCUGUAUUCCAAUUUUCAACCCUCUAACCCUCAUGGUUCCUGAGAUACAGCCAUUGGGUUCCUGGGAAAUUUUCAAUUUUUCUUCAUUUUUGAAAUUCCAUAUCUCCAUUAAUAAUAUUUUUUGGAAAAAACGCUGAAAUAGGUGUCCAAUGAAUUUAUUAGAAGAAUCUGUAUUCCAAUUUUCAACCCUCUAACCCUCAUGGUUCCUGAGAUACAGCCAUUGGGUUCCUGAGGAAUUUUCAAUUUUACAAACCUUUUGGUCAAGACUUCUUGUAAGCAAAACAUAAUUUUCUGUAGAUGUAUAACAGCUACAGCCACGAAAUAAACAACCAUUCAUAGGGAAUUUAAUAGGCUUUCCAAGACUUAAAAGCCUUUUUAAC